GUAGAGGUAGAGGUAGAGGAAGAGAAAGGGGAGGUCGAGGCAAUGGAAACACCAGCAGGCAUUUUAAUUCUAAAGGUGAUGAUGAUCAAAACAGAAGCAGAGGUCGAGAUCAACAAUUUGACAAAUCAAAAAUUGAGUGCUUCAGAUGUCAAAAGUUUGGUCAUUACCGUUCUGAAUGUCGUACGAAACUAUCCAAUGACAAAGAAAAGGGAGAGAAAUCAAAUUUUGCUGAAAAUAAUGAAGAAGAAACUUUGUUGAUGGCUGUUCAAGCAAAUGAAAAAUCUGAGUCAGAUAUUUGGUAUGUGGAUACAGGCUGCA
RNAcentral lists this unclassified non-coding RNA (318 nucleotides) under Hevea brasiliensis (rubber tree). Lineage: Eukaryota; Viridiplantae; Streptophyta; Magnoliopsida; Malpighiales; Euphorbiaceae. The record is from RNAcentral.